This 442-nucleotide ribosomal RNA is filed under the name Stangeria eriopus. RNAcentral describes it as "eukaryotic LSU rRNA". The stretch from base 4 to 157 matches the Rfam family "5.8S ribosomal RNA". Lineage: Eukaryota; Viridiplantae; Streptophyta; Cycadopsida; Cycadales; Zamiaceae. The record is from RNAcentral.
UACGACUCUCGGCAACGGAUAUCUCGGCCCUCGCCACGAUGAAGAACGUAGCGAAAUGCGAUACCUUGUGUGAAUUGCAGAAUCCCGUGAAUCAUCGAGUCUUUGAACGCAAGUUGCGCCCCAGGCCUAGGCCGAGGGCACAUCUGCCUGGGCGUCGCAUUCGAACGAAACGCCCCCUCUCCCGGUCCAUCUGGGGAGGGGAGCGGAGUUGGUCGUCCGUGCCCCUGGUGGUCCGGUUGGCUAAAACGGAUCGUGGGGGCCCCUGUCGGACGUCGCGUGGCACCGGCGAGUGGUGGUCCGGCCACUCCCCGGCGGAAGUGGCGGUUUGCUUCAUGCGCCGGUGCAAGACACGAGCGGGGAGUCGCCUCCGUAGCCUCUUGGACGGUCGCGUUGCGGCUUUCGAGCCUUCGCGUCGCGGCCCGUUUUUUGCUCGUGCGACCCC